GGAGAUGUGGCAGAGUGGUCUAUUGCGUCUGAUUCGAAAUCAGAAGUCCGUGAAAGCGGUCCGGGGGUUCGACUCCCUCCAUCUCCG
Molecule: transfer RNA, 87 nt
Filed under: Fibrobacterota bacterium
Lineage: Bacteria; Pseudomonadati; Fibrobacterota
Also listed under: 3 other names
Description: tRNA-Ser
Rfam family: tRNA
About the family: Transfer RNA (tRNA) molecules are approximately 80 nucleotides in length. Their secondary structure includes four short double-helical elements and three loops (D, anti-codon, and T loops). Further hydrogen bonds mediate the characteristic L-shaped molecular structure. tRNAs have two regions of fundamental functional importance: the anti-codon, which is responsible for specific mRNA codon recognition, and the 3' end, to which the tRNAs corresponding amino acid is attached (by aminoacyl-tRNA synthetases). tRNAs cope with the degeneracy of the genetic code in two manners: having more than one tRNA (with a specific anti-codon) for a particular amino acid; and 'wobble' base-pairing, i.e. permitting non-standard base-pairing at the 3rd anti-codon position.
Source: RNAcentral